UGGUUCUCCCCGAAAGCUAUUUAGGUAGCGCCUCGUGAAUUCAUCUCCGGGGGUAGAGCACUGUUUCGGCUAGGGGGCCAUCCCGGCUUACCAACCCGAUGCAAACUGCGAAUACCGGAGAAUGUUAUCACGGGAGACACACGGCGGGUGCUAACGUCCGUCGUGAAGAGGGAAACAACCCAGACCGCCAGCUAAGGUCCCAAAGUCAUGGUUAAGUGGGAAACGAUGUGGGAAGGCCCAGACAGCCAGGAUGUUGGCUUAGAAGCAGCCAUCAUUUAAAGAAAGCGUAAUAGCUCACUGGUCGAGUCGGCCUGCGCGGAAGAUGUAACGGGGCUAAACCAUGCACCGAAGCUGCGGCAGCGAACGUAUCACCCAAGACAACUUUACGGAGUUGACGAUUGACGGAGCGAAGCGACGUCAAAGCGUUCAUUAAAGUCGAGUUGGCUUAGGGAUACGUUCGUUGGGUAGGGGAGCGUUCUGUAAGCCUGUGAAGGUGUGUCGUGAGGCAUGCUGGAGGUAUCAGAAGUGCGAAUGCUGACAUAAGUAACGAUAAAGCGGGUGAAAAGCCCGCUCGCCGGAAGACCAAGGGUUC
This 592-nucleotide ribosomal RNA is filed under the name Salmonella enterica subsp. enterica serovar Typhimurium. Its description in RNAcentral is "partial 23S ribosomal RNA". It matches the Rfam family "Bacterial large subunit ribosomal RNA", at positions 850 to 1354 of the family's 2925-position model. The record is from RNAcentral. Lineage: Bacteria; Pseudomonadati; Pseudomonadota; Gammaproteobacteria; Enterobacterales; Enterobacteriaceae.